AACAGCUCCUCAAACAAGGUCUCAUAGAAUCCACUCCUCUCAGUAGGCCUGCCAGGCCUUUUAUGUUGAGAAAAGAUCUGAGCAAGUAAGAGGAAAGAAAAGACUUGUCAUUGAUUACAAGCCCCUCAAUCAUUUCCUUCAAGAUGACAAGUUCCCUCUACCAAAACCUGAAGCUUUGUUCACUCGAACUCCACGAGGCCCAUGUUUUCUCCAAGUUUGAUCUUAAAGUUGGAUUUUGGCAAUUGGGUAUUAAC
This 254-nucleotide unclassified non-coding RNA is filed under the name Hevea brasiliensis (rubber tree). The record is from RNAcentral. Lineage: Eukaryota; Viridiplantae; Streptophyta; Magnoliopsida; Malpighiales; Euphorbiaceae.